AUCCGUGGCCGCCGUGAAGGUGCCCAUGGGCGUGGGCACCCAUCUGUCGGGAAAUCUCUCUCAUGAGUGCUUCGCUCGCUGCAAAUGUGGGAGCUCCUCUUGCCCUUCGACGCGGAUUCUCUGCGCUCCAUGCCUCCGCUUGCCCCCCCCCCCCCCCCCUCCAUUGGUGCCGUUCCGGCCACGGUUGUCAGGAGCAGUCAUUGAGCGCAGUGUCAGGGUGACACUAUUCGCACGCUCUUUUCAUCGUUUGAUUAAUCGCAGACUUUUUCCCUACAACCUAAUUUAAAUUAAGACGCAGGCUCAGGUAAGGGUGGAGGGUGAAUUAAACUACAUAUUCUUCUUGCAAAAACAAUCGAAUACAAAGCUCUAACCACAUGGAAAAGCUAUGAAAACCUAGUCACUUCAGUGGAGAAACACGUCUGUAGUCGUGUAUACUGAUUGGAUUCUUUGAGUUUUGGGCUCCAGGUUGAUUCCGGAUUACGUAACAAUCUGGAAACAACGUAAGUCCCAGUCGUUGUUUGGACAUUUGUAGGGAAAAAACAAUAUUCAUUCAUAAACUAUUGUGAGAAACGUCAAAAAUAAAAAUAAAAUUUUCCGGACUGAAAGAUAGUAUGCGUGUGUUUCAAAGUUUUGACCAGAAGAGAAUGACCAACAACAUGCGCCAACGACAAACACCAGUUUCCAAUCUCUGUAGACUAGUGCUACGGAGAUUGGCCUGGAUCUGGAGUUAUUGGGCUCCAAAGAGUUUACUUUGUAUUGUGCUGAUGUCAGGUCAACCUUGUACAUCUGCUGACAGUCAGGUUAUGUCAUUUGGUGGACGCAAUUGCAAGCUGCGUCAUUGCCUCAUCAGAUUGUCGGGUUUAUAUAGAAAGCAGCGGUGGCAUCAAGACGUAAUGUACUGCUGGUCAGGUUGCGUGGGAAGGGUAAGCGUGGCAAAUCUUUGUCAUAAUCACAUGAAAUAACACACUUCAGUAUUGAGAAAUGGCUGAGGAACUAUCCAAACAGGUAGAACUACUGGUGCUAAUCUACAUGGAGGUCAGGCGAUCGCACAGGGUGUUAUCAGCAGGGGAAGAGGUUCAUGCAACAAAUUUAUGUGACAACGCCACUAGUAGUUGAUUAAAAGCUGGAGGCAAUGUUGAAAGAAAUGUCAGGUUGAGCAUCUUUGCAGAAAAUGCGAGGCUGGUUCUUAAUAUGUUCCACGCAAUUGCAGGAAUUGCUUUGCGGCCUAUUUUGGGUCUUUCUGAGGUCAAAGGGCCUUCACAGUCCAAAGGACGAUAAUUUCUGAACAUCUUAACUUCAUUCAGACAGCUCUCAGAGACUGGGCCAGCGCUAGUGAUCAGGUAUGACGUUUUGCUCCAUUGAAAAAAAAAGAGUUUAGUAGAACGGAACAUGAGAAACAGACCAAGACGUUCCUUAGCAUAGACGUCGACCCGGCAGAUACUUCUCACUUCGAAGUCCUAAUUCAUGCUCAAGUAUUAAACUGCAGCUAAAUUGCAAAGAAUGCACCUAUAGAACGCAUUACAUUGAAAAGCAGAUCUAAACACGAAUGAUACAUUAUUUGUUGUAUUAUAAAGGUUUAAUAGGCACCUCAAUAAAGUACACCAUCAAUGCUCCA
Molecule: non-coding RNA, 1615 nt
Organism: Physcomitrium patens
Lineage: Eukaryota; Viridiplantae; Streptophyta; Bryopsida; Funariales; Funariaceae
Source: RefSeq, a predicted model, not a curated record